UACGGAGGGUGCAAGCGUUAUCCGGAUUUACUGGGUUUAAAGGGUGCGUAGGUGGCCUUAUAAGUCAGCGGUGAAAUCUCUGGGCUUAACCCAGAAAUUGCCAUUGAUACUGUAGGGCUUGAGUACAGUUGCUGUGGGCGGAAUAUGACAUGUAGUGGUGAAAUACAUAGAGAUGUCAUAGAACACCGAUUGCGAAGGCAGCUCACAAAACUGUAACUGACACUGAGGCUCGAAAGUGCGGGGGAUCAAACAGG
Molecule: ribosomal RNA, 254 nt
Filed under: uncultured bacterium
Lineage: Bacteria
Description: partial 16S ribosomal RNA
Rfam family: Bacterial small subunit ribosomal RNA
Source: RNAcentral